GUGGGGAAUCUUGCACAAUGGGCGAAAGCCUGAUGCAGCGACGCCGCGUGCGGGAUGAAGGCCUUCGGGUUGUAAACCGCUUUCAGCAGGGACGAGGCCGCAAGGUGACGGUACCUGCAGAAGAAGCCCCGGCUAACUACGUGCCAGCAGCCGCGGUAAUACGUAGGGGGCAAGCGUUAUCCGGAUUCAUUGGGCGUAAAGAGCUCGUAGGCGGCCCGUUAGGUCAGGAGUCAAAUUCGGGGGCUCAACCCCCGCGCGCUCCUGAUACCGGCGGGCUUGAGUUUGGUAGGGGAAGGUGGAAUUCCCAGUGUAGCGGUGGAAUGCGCAGAUAUUGGGAAGAACACCGGUGGCGAAGGCGGCCUUCUGGGCCAUAACUGACGCUGAGGAGCGAAAGCUAGGGGAGCGAACAGGAUUAGAUACCCUGGUAGUCC
RNAcentral lists this ribosomal RNA (431 nucleotides) under uncultured bacterium. Its description in RNAcentral is "partial 16S ribosomal RNA". It matches the Rfam family "Bacterial small subunit ribosomal RNA", at positions 354 to 796 of the family's 1533-position model. The record is from RNAcentral.